UGGGGAAUAUUGCACAAUGGAGGGAACUCUGAUGCAGCGACGCCGCGUGAGUGAUGAAGGAAUUCGUUUCGUAAAACUCUGCUCUAUGGGAAGAAAAGGACUGUACCAUAGGAGAAAGCUCCGGCUAAAUACGUGCCAGCAGCCGCGGUAAUACGUAUGGAGCGAGCGUUGUCCGGCAUUAUUGGGCGUAAAGGGUGCGCAGGCGGCUUUACAAGUUGGAUGUGAAAUAUUGUGGCUCAACCACAAACGUGCAUCCAAAACUGCAAAGCUUGAGUUAAGGAGAGGUAAGUGGAAUUCCUGGUGUAGCGGUGGAAUGCGUAGAUAUGAGGAGGAAUACCGGUGGCGAAGGGGACUUACAGGACUUAAACAGACGCUCAGGCACAACAGCGUGGGGAGCAAACAGG
Molecule: ribosomal RNA, 404 nt
Filed under: Fusobacteriota bacterium
Lineage: Bacteria; Fusobacteriati; Fusobacteriota
Description: Fusobacteria bacterium partial 16S ribosomal RNA
Rfam family: Bacterial small subunit ribosomal RNA
Source: RNAcentral